RNAcentral lists this long non-coding RNA (1225 nucleotides) under Apteryx rowi (Okarito brown kiwi). Its description in RNAcentral is "lncRNA (ENSARWG00000008363.1)". The record is from RNAcentral. Lineage: Eukaryota; Metazoa; Chordata; Aves; Apterygiformes; Apterygidae.
GGCUGCGCACGCUAAUCACCGCCUAGCCCCGUCCCGCGAGCAGAGCCGCUUUCAGCUUUUCGAGUCGCCCGGUUCCGCCGGCCUCUCCUGUUUCCCACGGAUGGGACCUUCCGAAGGGCGCCGAAUGGGGCUCUGGAAGGGACCACUGGGAAAGCGGGGGGGGGGGGCCCGAGCGGAGCGCCGCGCGGCUUCCUUUGGCUCGAGUACAAUAGCGGGGCUGCGGGGCGCCUACAGCUCCCAGGCUGCGGGGCUGCGGCCGGCGCCGCGCGGCAUGCCGGGACCUGUAGUCGCGGCGGGGCGGCGGCGCCCGCUCGGGCCCCCGGCCGGGAAGGCAGGGCGCCGGGGCGGGUUUUGCGUUGUUGCCCUCUUACCGAGGGUGCCGCUGAAAGGGCCGGCGGGAGGCCUCGAGCCGCGGAAGGAGGCCGAGGCGGGACGCAGGGCUCCCGGAGGCCGAGCGGCCGGCGCCGCUGCGCUGAUGUUCAUGGAGGCUAAUGUACGGAGGACAGAAGGACACAUCAAGGAACUGGGAGAGAGAUCCAGUGCUGUGCUGAGGAAGGAGGACAGACAAUUUUCCUGUUCAAAGAUAGCUUCUUAUGUCCCCACAAGAUGCAGAAACGUCUUUACCACUGAAGACAGUACAAUUUGGGAUAAGGACCCAGCAUAUGAAAGAACUAGCACAUGGAGUGUAAUUGCCAGGAAGCUGUUCAACAGCUCAAGGAGGAACGCCGAUAUCAGUGGGAUAUGUGAUUCCAACUGCUGGAAAUAAGAGAAGAAAUCGGGUGCUAUUUUCUAUCUCUCUGUGUGUUUUGAAACGUUUAAAAUUGGACCUAUGAGUUCCCAAAUGGAAAUACUGCUGUCCCUGGACUCCACCGUACACUUGGCAGAGCCUAUUUUGCUGCGAGUCGAAGGGCAGCUGCAGAGCUAUUGUGGACUGCGCGGAGGGAACCUCAUUUGCCUGCCUGUAACAAAGCUUCGGUGAAGGGUAUUCCCCAGGCCCCGCAGCAGCACCUCUGCAACGGAAACGCACGCAGCAGAAGGCAAGCCUGUACACAGGGCAUCGUAGGUGCUCUCAAAUCUUUGCCUACAAGUAUCAGGAAAAGCGUGAAAAAAUGGCCAGCAUGUUUAAAAGACACCAGGAAAUAGUCUGAAUAUUCACAUUUCAAAAUUUGAUUUUGAAACCAGUUAUUUGAAUAAAUAGUUUGCAGUGCCCCUUUAAAAAGAACCC